UUUCCCCUGCGGUGUUCGUUCAGGCCAUAUAUUCUUUGAACCAAUAACAUCGCACUGGCCGCCGACCAUGGCAGUUUCGGUGUGCACAUCCCACGUGGAUGCGCCUGAAGGAACUCGGGAGGUGGCCGCCUUGAACCUUAGGUUCAAGAUGCUGGUCUGGAUCGGCACAUGCGGGGGACCC
RNAcentral lists this non-coding RNA (181 nucleotides) under Betaproteobacteria bacterium. RNAcentral describes it as "6S RNA". It matches the Rfam family "6S / SsrS RNA". From Rfam's summary of the family: E. coli 6S RNA was the first non coding RNA to be sequenced, but its function was unknown until recently. It consists of 184 nucleotides that fold into an extended hairpin structure with a large single-stranded internal bulge. The 6S RNA specifically associates with RNA polymerase holoenzyme containing the sigma70 specificity factor. Lineage: Bacteria; Pseudomonadati; Pseudomonadota; Betaproteobacteria. The record is from RNAcentral.